UGAAUACGAGAUGCUACGGCGUCGAAGCAGUCUAUGUCAUACUUCCAAGAAAAGCUCGCACUGUCAUAAACAAAUAAUGCCUGUACCAUAACCGACACAGGUGGGUAGGUAGAGUAUACUAAGGGGCGCGAGAUAACUCUCUCUAAGGAACUCGGCAAAAUGACUCCGUAACUUCGGGAGAAGGAGUGCCUUAUUUAUAAGGUUGCAAUAACAAGAUCCAAGCAACUGUUUAUCAAAAACACAGGUCUCCGCUAAGUCGUAAGACGAUGUAUGGGGGCUGACGCCUGCCCAGUGCCAGAAGGUUAAAGAAGUUGGUUAGCAUUCGCGAAGCUGAUAACUGAAGCCCUGGUGAACGGCGGCCGUAACUAUAACGGUCCUAAGGUAGCGAAAUUCCUUGUCGGGUAAGUUCCGACCCGCACGAAAGGCGUAAUGAUUUGGAUACUGUCUCGGAGAGGGGCUCGGUGAAAUAGACUUGUCUGUGAAGAUGCGGACUACCUGCACCAGGACAGAAAGACCCUAUGAAGCUUUACUGUAACUUGAGAUUGAAAUUGGACUUUACUUGCGCAGUAUAGGUGGGAGGCGUUGAUAAUAUUCUUGCGGGAUUAUUUGAGCCAUCAGUGAGAUACCACUCUUGUAAUGUUAGAUUUCUAACUUUGUAUCAUUAUCUGGUCAAAGGACAGUUUCAGGCGGGCAGUUUGACUGGGGCGGUCGCCUCCUAAACGGUAACGGAGGCGCACAAAGGUUUCCUCUGAACGGGUAGAAAUCGUAUCUAGAGUGUAAAGGCAUAAGGAAGCUUGACUGUGAGACCUACAAGUCGAGCAGGGACGAAAGUCGGUCUUAGUGAUCUGACGGUGCUGAGUGGAAAGGCCGUCACUCAACGGAUAAAAGUUACUCUAAGGAUAACAGGCUGAUCUCCCCCAAGAGUUCACAUCGACGGGGAGGUUUGGCACCUCGAUGUCGGCUCAUCGCAUCCUGGGGCGGUAGUACGUCCCAAGGGUUGGGCUGUUCGCCCAUGAAAGCGGUACGCGAGCUGGGUUCAGAACGUCGUGAGACAGUUCGGUCCAUAUCCGGUGUAGGCGUUAGAAUAUUGAGAGGAGCCUUCUUUAGUACGAGAGGACCGAGAAGGACAUACCUCUGGUGUACCAGUUAUCGUGCCAACGGUAAACGCUGGGUAGCUAUGUAUGGAGUGGAUAACCGCUGAAAGCAUCUAAGUGGGAAGCCCACCUCAAGAUAAGUAUUCUCAUG
RNAcentral lists this ribosomal RNA (1245 nucleotides) under metagenome. RNAcentral's name for it is "bacterial LSU rRNA". It matches the Rfam family "Bacterial large subunit ribosomal RNA", at positions 1564 to 2818 of the family's 2925-position model. The record is from RNAcentral.